AGUGAACGCUGGCGGUAGGCCUAACACAUGCAAGUCGAACGGCAGCACAGUAAGAGCUUGCUCUUACGGUUGGCGAGUGGCGGACGGGUGAGGAAUACAUCGGAAUCUACUUUUUCGUGGGUGAUAACGUAGAGAAACUUACGCUAAUACCGCAUACGACCUACGGGUGAAAUCAAUGGAGCUUCGGACCUUUCGCGAUUGAAUGAGCCGAGGUCGCAUUAGCUUGUUGGCGGGGUAAAGGCCCACCAAGGCAACGAUCCGUAGCUGGCCUGAGAGGGUGAUCGGCCACACUGGAACUUAGACACGGUCCAGACUCCUACGGGAGGCAGCAGUGGGGAAUAUUGGACAAUGGGCGAAAGCCUGAUCCAGCCAUGCCGCGUGGGUGAAGAAGGCCUUCGGGUUGUAAAGCCCUGUUGUUGGGAAAGAAAAGCAGCAGAUUAAUACCCCGCUGUUUUGACGGUACCCAAAGAAUAAGCAACGGCUAACUUCGUG
Molecule: ribosomal RNA, 492 nt
Filed under: uncultured bacterium
Lineage: Bacteria
Description: partial 16S ribosomal RNA
Rfam family: Bacterial small subunit ribosomal RNA
Source: RNAcentral